GGGUACUUGAAUUGCUUAUUGCACCACAUGUGUUUUUCUUUGAAACAAACUUGCUUUGGCGGUGGGCCCAGCCUGCCGCCAGAGGUCUAAACUUACAACCAAUUUUUUAUCAACUUGUCACACCAGAUUAUUACUUAAUAGUCAAAACUUUCAACAACGGAUCUCUUGGUUCUCGCAUCGAUGAAGAACGCAGCGAAAUGCGAUACGUAAUAUGAAUUGCAGAUAUUCGUGAAUCAUCGAAUCUUUGAACGCACAUUGCGCCCUCUGGUAUUCCGGAGGGCAUGCCUGUUUGAGCGUCGUUUCUCCCUCAAACCGCUGGGUUUGGUGUUGAGCAAUACGACUUGGGUUUGCUUGAAAGACGGUAGUGGUAAGGCGGGAUCGCUUUGACAAUGGCUUAGGUCUAACCAAAAACAUUGCUUGCGGCGGUAACGUCCACCACGUAUAUCUUCAAACUUUGACCUCAAAUCAGGUAGGACUACCCGCUGAACUUAAGCAUAUCAAUAAGCGGAGGAA
This 513-nucleotide ribosomal RNA is filed under the name Candida albicans. RNAcentral's name for it is "eukaryotic LSU rRNA". The stretch from base 146 to 299 matches the Rfam family "5.8S ribosomal RNA". The record is from RNAcentral. Lineage: Eukaryota; Fungi; Ascomycota; Pichiomycetes; Serinales; Debaryomycetaceae.